Molecule: long non-coding RNA, 204 nt
Filed under: Lathyrus oleraceus (garden pea)
Lineage: Eukaryota; Viridiplantae; Streptophyta; Magnoliopsida; Fabales; Fabaceae
Description: Pisum sativum (pea) long non-coding RNA (PSAT_LNC041748)
Source: RNAcentral
UUACUCCCCCUUUUUGUCAAAAAUGUUGCCAAAGCCAGCAACAUAGCCAGAGCACACUGACAGAGUUCCAGACUUGGUUUUACUUCACAGUUUCAACCAAGUUCACAUCCACUUGAUCUUGCUUCACAGCUUCGAUCAAGUAAUCACCCACUUUUGCUUUACAGUAGGUACAGCCAUAUCAGAUUCCAAGACUUUGAGUCUGAC